RNAcentral lists this ribosomal RNA (468 nucleotides) under uncultured bacterium. RNAcentral describes it as "partial 16S ribosomal RNA". It matches the Rfam family "Bacterial small subunit ribosomal RNA", at positions 28 to 507 of the family's 1533-position model. The record is from RNAcentral.
GACGAACGCUGGCGGCGUGCUUAACACAUGCAAGUCGAACGGGAAGGCCCUGCUUUUGUGGGGUGCUCGAGUGGCGAACGGGUGAGUAACACGUGAGUAACCUGCCCUUGACUUUGGGAUAACUUCAGGAAACUGGGGCUAAUACCGGAUAGGAGCUCCUGCUGCAUGGUGGGGGUUGGAAAGUUUCGGCGGUUGGGGAUGGACUCGCGGCUUAUCAGCUUGUUGGUGGGGUAGUGGCUUACCAAGGCUUUGACGGGUAGCCGGCCUGAGAGGGUGACCGGCCACAUUGGGACUGAGAUACGGCCCAGACUCCUACGGGAGGCAGCAGUGGGGAAUAUUGCACAAUGGGCGGAAGCCUGAUGCAGCAACGCCGCGUGCGGGAUGACGGCCUUCGGGUUGUAAACCGCUUUCGCCUGUGACGAAGUGUGAGUGACGGUAAUGGGUAAAGAAGCACCGGCUAACUACGUG